This 748-nucleotide ribosomal RNA is filed under the name uncultured prokaryote. RNAcentral describes it as "bacterial SSU rRNA". It matches the Rfam family "Bacterial small subunit ribosomal RNA", at positions 720 to 1482 of the family's 1533-position model. The record is from RNAcentral.
GGCAGCUUGCUGGACUGUAACUGACGCUGAGGCANGAAAGCGUGGGGAUCAAACAGGAUUAGAUACCNUGGUAGNCCACGCCGUAAACGAUGANUGCUAGCUGUUAGCGAUAUACUGUUAGCGGCACAGAGAAAUCGUUAAGCAUUCCACCUGGGGAGUACGCCGGCAACGGUGAAACUCAAAGGAAUUGACGGGGGCCCGCACAAGCGGAGGAACAUGUGGUUUAAUUCGAUGAUACGCGAGGAACCUUACCUGGGCUUAAAUUGCAGUGGAAUAACGUGGAAACAUGUUAGCCUUCGGGCCGCUGUGAAGGUGCUGCAUGGUUGUCGUCAGCUCGUGCCGUGAGGUGUCGGCUUAAGUGCCAUAACGAGCGCAACCCUCAUCGAUAGUUACUAACAGGUUAAGCUGAGGACUCUAUCGAGACUGCCGACGUAAGUCGUGAGGAAGGUGGGGAUGACGUCAAAUCAGCACGGCCCUUACGUCCAGGGCUACACACGUGUUACAAUGGGGGGUACAAAGGGCAGCUACCUGGCGACAGGAUGCUAAUCUCAAAAACCUCUCUCAGUUCGGAUUGGAGUCUGCAACCCGACUCCAUGAAGCUGGAUUCGCUAGUAAUCGCGCAUCAGCCACGGCGCGGUGAAUACGUUCCCGGGCCUUGUACACACCGCCCGUCAAGCCAUGGGAGCCGGGGGGACCUGAAGUAUGCAACCGUAAGGAGCGUCCUAGGGUAAAACUGGUGACUGGGGCU